AUUGCAGACUACAAUUUAGCCAAACGACACGUGAAAACGUUGUUUUCUUUUUAAACUUUUAGGAGUGCAAUUAAAUACCAGAAAUCAGAGAUAAAACCUACAAGGAAAUAGUUUUUGCACUUCUCAACCGACGUUCUACUAUUUUGGCAAUAAAAACACACACUUGAGCCGCCCGAGGAGGAACUCUAAAAAGGAAGGAAGGAAAAUAACACCUGGUAAUGAGCGGGGAGCAGCGUGAGGCACGCCCCAUCAUCAUCAGCCAAGAAAAAAAGGAACAUGACGGGCUGCAGCAACCGCCAGCACAGGACCGAGACGGCACAUCCGCAGCAACAACAACAACAACGUUGUCGUCUAUGUUGAGAAACUGCCUCUGGGCGGCACACAAUCCUCCAUGUAGGCCUCCUCUUCUUUCUUUCGUUCGUGAUAAGAAAUUGUGGGAUGUACCGCCGUCCUCUUGUGUAUUUUCUUCGGUCAUUCUCUUACAUAUCCAUUCCAUCCGGAAAUGGCGGCCAGUUGUGUUAGGGAGGGAGGCCAUAAGUUCCCGCGUCCGUCCUCCAUCUUCCGUGUCCCUUUUUUCUUCUUUUACGUAACUGGGAAUCACGCUCCUGGCUCAUCGUCCAGUUACUUCAACUUGGCGGUUUGAACGUUGCAGCUCUCUCACACACAC
Long non-coding RNA from Daphnia pulicaria, 667 nucleotides. RefSeq lists it as uncharacterized. The record is from RefSeq and is a predicted model, not a curated record. The transcript is spliced from 3 exons. Lineage: Eukaryota; Metazoa; Arthropoda; Branchiopoda; Diplostraca; Daphniidae.